This 301-nucleotide ribosomal RNA is filed under the name uncultured bacterium. RNAcentral's name for it is "partial 16S ribosomal RNA". It matches the Rfam family "Bacterial small subunit ribosomal RNA", at positions 509 to 807 of the family's 1533-position model. The record is from RNAcentral.
CAGCCGCCGCGGUAAUACGUAGGUGGCAGACGUUGUCCGGAAUUAUUGGGCGUAAAGGGCUCGCAGGCGGUUUCUUAAGUCUGAUGUGAAAGCCCCCGGCUCGACCGGGGAGGGUCAUUGGAAACUGGGAAACUUGAGUGCAGAAGAGGAGAGUGGAAUUCCACGUGUAGCGGUGAAAUGCGUAGAGAUGUGGAGGAACACCAGUGGCGAAGGCGACUCUCUGGUCUGUAACUGACGCUGAGGAGCGAAAGCGUGGGGAGCGAACAGGAUUAGAUACCCGGGUAGUCCCUGUCUCUUAUAC